UACGUAGGGUGCGAGCGUUGUCCGGAAUUAUUGGGCGUAAAGGGCUCGUAGGCGGUUUGUCGCGUCGGGAGUGAAAACACCGGGCUUAACUCGGUGCUGGCUUUCGAUACGGGCAGACUAGAGGUAUGCAGGGGAGAACGGAAUUCCUGGUGUAGCGGUGAAAUGCGCAGAUAUCAGGAGGAACACCGGUGGCGAAGGCGGUUCUCUGGGCAUGUCCUGACGCUGAGGAGCGAAAGCCAGGGGAGCAAACGGG
Molecule: ribosomal RNA, 253 nt
Filed under: uncultured bacterium
Lineage: Bacteria
Description: partial 16S ribosomal RNA
Rfam family: Bacterial small subunit ribosomal RNA
Source: RNAcentral